Oncorhynchus tshawytscha (Chinook salmon) is the source of this 118-nucleotide ribosomal RNA. NCBI's taxonomy places the organism in Eukaryota, Metazoa, Chordata, Actinopteri, Salmoniformes, Salmonidae. The record is from Ensembl.
GCUUACGACCACACCGGCCUGAGUACGCCUGAUCUCGUCUGAUCUCGGAAGCUAAGCAGGGUCGGGCCUGGUUAGUACUUGGAUGGGAGACUUCCUGGGAUACCAGGUGCUGUAAGCU